AAAAUAAGAUAAUAAAUACUUGAAAUAAUUCUUACAUUUAUAUAUGAGUUCCACACCGCAUCUUCAGCAACAACAAGCUGCCUAUACUCAUCCUAACCAAAACUGCUAUUAUUUUUUCCACUAAGCAUGUCAUAAAUGAUUGACCAAUCCCUUUUCAAUGUUCUAAUCCUUGAUUCAAGAUUAAGUUUAGCCUUCAACAUGGCAUUGGGUAAAACUUUUUCUAACAUUUUUUCUAUUUCAUUUAAAUAAUAGGCUUUGAAUCCCGUAUCAACAUUGAAGGUUCCAACAUUGUGCAAGUCGACCAUACAGGCAACCAACGCAGCAUCUUCUUCUGGAACCUAUUUCCUUUUGGUUCCUUGAGAAUUUUGGGAAGAAAC
This 377-nucleotide long non-coding RNA is filed under the name Gossypium barbadense (sea-island cotton). RNAcentral's name for it is "long non-coding RNA (GBAR_LNC020869)". Lineage: Eukaryota; Viridiplantae; Streptophyta; Magnoliopsida; Malvales; Malvaceae. The record is from RNAcentral.